Long non-coding RNA from Physeter macrocephalus (sperm whale), 683 nucleotides. RefSeq lists it as uncharacterized. The transcript has 3 exons. NCBI's taxonomy places the organism in Eukaryota, Metazoa, Chordata, Mammalia, Artiodactyla, Physeteridae. The record is from RefSeq and is a predicted model, not a curated record.
GCAGGUAGUUGGAAAGAGACCACAGACAUUGAGGGAAGCUCACUCGGGACCUAUUCUUCACCCAGUUUCUCCGGCAAAGUGGGGCUGACGGCGUGAUGAGCUACUUUGUGGAGUCUGCAGUGAGUGGCCCUGCCCACUACUCAGCGGUGCGACCUGCAGCAGUGAGGCAGGGACCUCUCAGCUCUUACGAAGAUCCUCGAAUGGCCUGUGGUUUCCAGUCCGCUUAUCACCCGCCAAGAGCUUGCUACCCCUUCUGGGAUGAGAUGGCCACUCAGGAAGUGCCCACUGGUCUUGAACACUGUGGCUCAGGUAGGAACAUCAACGGAGGCUGAGACUGAGGAUGGAGUUGAAGGACAAUGGCAAUUGGAUGAGGGCUGCAUCCUGCAUCCUCUGCUGUCACAGCUGCCCUGGCUCACGUGGGUUCCGGAUGCUAUUGUUCUAUGGAAAGUCCCAGGACUUUUCAGUCACCUUGAGUGACUUUAUUCUCCAGUGACAGGAAGACUAAACUCUAGGAAUGGGCCCACGCGAGGUUGCUUUAGGUCUUCAUUUUGUAAAUAGUUCUCUCCACUCUGCCUGUCCCGAGCCUUAUCCACUUCAGCCUGGCUGUUGACAAAGGACCUAGAAGGUUUGCAGUCAUGAAGUAUGACAGAUAGACAGAGGGUGUGUGACCUAGGCAGCCUUCU